UGGGGAAUAUUGGACAAUGGGCGCAAGCCUGAUCCAGCAAUGCCGCGUGUGUGAAGAAGGCCUUCGGGUUGUAAAGCACUUUUAUCAGGAACGAAAAGGUUUCGGUUAAUACCCGGGACUGCUGACGGUACCUGAGGAAUAAGCACCGGCUAACUUCGUGCCAGCAGCCGCGGUAAUACGAAGGGUGCAAGCGUUAGUCGGAAUUACUGGGCGUAAAGCGUGCGUAGGUGGUUUCUUAAGUCCGUUGUGAAAGCCCUGGGCUCAACCUGGGAACUGCAGUGGAUACUGAGAGGCUAGAGUGUGUCAGAGGAUGGUGGAAUUCCCGGUGUAGCGGUGAAAUGCGUAGAGAUCGGGAGGAACAUCAGUGGCGAAGGCGGCCAUCUGGGACAACACUGACGCUGAGGCACGAAAGCGUGGGGAGCAAACAGG
This 429-nucleotide ribosomal RNA is filed under the name uncultured bacterium. Its description in RNAcentral is "bacterial SSU rRNA". It matches the Rfam family "Bacterial small subunit ribosomal RNA", at positions 355 to 776 of the family's 1533-position model. The record is from RNAcentral.